UGGGGAAUAUUGCGCAAUGGUGGAAACCCUGACGCAGCGACGCCGCGUGCGGGAUGAAGGCCUUCGGGUUGUAAACCGCUUUUGAUUGGGAGCAAGCCUUUUGGGUGAGUGUACCUUUCGAAUAAGCGCCGGCUAACUACGUGCCAGCAGCCGCGGUAAUACGUAGGGCGCAAGCGUUAUCCGGAAUUUUUGGGCGUAAAGAGCUUGUAGGCGGUUCGUCGCGUCUGGUGUGAAAGCCCAUCGCUUAACGGUGGGUUUGCGCCGGGUACGGGCGGGCUAGAGUGCAGUAGGGGAGACUGGAAUUCCCGGUGUAACGGUGGAAUGUGUAGAUAUCGGGAAGAACACCAAUGGCGAAGGCAGGUCUCUGGGCUGUUACUGACGCUGAGAAGCGAAAGCGUGGGGAGCGAACAGG
RNAcentral lists this ribosomal RNA (412 nucleotides) under Verrucomicrobiota bacterium. RNAcentral's name for it is "Verrucomicrobia bacterium partial 16S ribosomal RNA". It matches the Rfam family "Bacterial small subunit ribosomal RNA", at positions 355 to 776 of the family's 1533-position model. Lineage: Bacteria; Pseudomonadati; Verrucomicrobiota. The record is from RNAcentral.